This 218-nucleotide long non-coding RNA is filed under the name Lathyrus oleraceus (garden pea). Its description in RNAcentral is "Pisum sativum (pea) long non-coding RNA (PSAT_LNC011646)". The record is from RNAcentral. Lineage: Eukaryota; Viridiplantae; Streptophyta; Magnoliopsida; Fabales; Fabaceae.
AUGUUUCAAAAAGUUCUCCCAAGUCAUUGCAUCCUUACUCAAACCCGUCUUUAAAACCCAAAAACUUUCAGAAUAACAUUGUUUUCUUUUGCAAAAAAUUUUUUUGGUAGGGCUAAAGGUAUGGGGAGAUUAGACUGUACUGAAAAUACACUAUACUGGUGACUCGUCAGACUCAUGCAUUAUCUAAAGCACUAAAAGCAAAAUAAGCAACUAAAAAG